This 492-nucleotide ribosomal RNA is filed under the name uncultured bacterium. RNAcentral's name for it is "partial 16S ribosomal RNA". It matches the Rfam family "Bacterial small subunit ribosomal RNA", at positions 29 to 507 of the family's 1533-position model. The record is from RNAcentral.
AGUGAACGCUGGCGGUAGGCCUAACACAUGCAAGUCGAACGGCAGCACAGUAAGAGCUUGCUCUUACGGGUGGCGAGUGGCGGACGGGUGAGGAAUACAUCGGAAUCUACUUUUUCGUGGGGGAUAACGUAGGGAAACUUACGCUAAUACCGCAUACGACCUACGGGUGAAAGCAGGGGAUCUUCGGACCUUGCGCGACUGAAUUAGCCGAUGUCGGAUUAGCUAGUUGGCGGGGUAAAGGCCCACCAAGGCGACGAUCCGUAGCUGGUCUGAGAGGAUGAUCAGCCACACUGGAACUGAGACACGGUCCAGACUCCUACGGGAGGCAGCAGUGGGGAAUAUUGGACAAUGGGCGAAAGCCUGAUCCAGCCAUACCGCGUGGGUGAAGAAGGCCUUCGGGUUGUAAAGCCCUUUUGUUGGGAAAGAAAAGCAGCAGGUUAAUACCCCGCUGUUCUGACGGUACCCAAAGAAUAAGCACCGGCUAACUUCGUG